GACGGAGGGUGCAAGCGUUGUUCGGAAUUACUGGGCGUAAAGCGCGUGUAGGCGGCUAGGUAAGUCGGAUGUGAAAGCCCCGAGCUCAACUCGGGAACUGCGUCCGAAACUGCUUAGCUCGAGUCCCGGAGAGGAAGGCAGAACUCCCAGUGUAGGGGUGAAAUCCGUAGAUACUGGGAAGAAUACCAGUAGCGAAGGCGGCCUUCUGGACGGUGACUGACGCUGAGACGCGAAAGCGUGGGGAGCAAACAGG
RNAcentral lists this ribosomal RNA (253 nucleotides) under uncultured bacterium. RNAcentral describes it as "partial 16S ribosomal RNA". It matches the Rfam family "Bacterial small subunit ribosomal RNA", at positions 524 to 776 of the family's 1533-position model. The record is from RNAcentral.